GAUGAAGAACGUAGCGAAAUGCGAUAAGUAAUGUGAAUUGCAGAAUUCAGUGAAUCAUCGAAUCUUUGAACGCACCUUGCACCCUUUGGCAUUCUGAAGGGUAUGCUCGUUUGAGUGUCAUUGUACUCUCACACUCCCGAUCUUUGCAUUGGGAGCAGUGGACUUGGGUUUGCUGCUUCACCGUCGCUUACCUCAAAUAGGUUAGUGCAACUCUUGGUUGGACAUAGUACGGCGUGAUAAGUGUUCUUCGCCGGUGCCUCGCAAAGAGGGUGGCCGAUCGGGAUGUUGUGCUCCAAACCGUCUUCGGACAAUCUCUGACGACUUGACCUCAAAUCGAGUAAGACUACCCGCUGAACUUAAGCAUAUCAAUCAGCGGAGGA
Molecule: unclassified non-coding RNA, 380 nt
Filed under: soil metagenome
Description: partial contains 5.8S ribosomal RNA, internal transcribed spacer 2, and large subunit ribosomal RNA
Rfam family: 5.8S ribosomal RNA (bases 1-120)
Source: RNAcentral